UGCAUGAAUGUUUUUCUAGUUUUCAAAAAAAAAUAAAAAAAAUUCUUUUUCAAAAAAGACAAUAAAACUAGUUUUUCUUGUUUUUUAUUAUUUUUAUUUAAAUAUGUGUGUUUUUCAAUUGUUGCCCCUUUCUAUAAUAAAAGGCUAGAAAAAAAAAAUGAAAGUUGUAUUUGUCGAUUGAUCGAGCUAAACAGACAAACAUGAAAGUUGUAAUUUUUUAAAGUAUUCUUGAAAAUCUAUAAAUUCAAACAAAUAUUUAUCGAAACAAAUAAACAAAAACAUAGAACUUUUGCAACAUAAAGUGGUUAAUAAGUUUUUAGUUGUUGCAAGCUUAGAAGAAAAAAUAUGACAAAAAUUAUUAAAUUUGUUUAUUUAUUAAUCCUCUUUAUUUCCUUAUUUCUUGUUUUACCGGAAGCUAGUGCAGUAACACCAACGCCAUGUAAAUAUGAUUAUGAAUGUAAAUUCAUUAAAUGUGGUCUUUAUGUUGGAAAAUGCGUUUUUCGCAUAUGUGAAUGUCGUCAUCGAUUAGAAAAUCGUCAUCGAUUUGAAAAUUGGUAAGAGAUUAAUUGCAACCUCAAAAGACGAAGUUUAAAUCUCAAUUGAGACAAAUGUAAAAUGAUCAUUAGAAUCACCGUUAUUUAUAAUAAAUUUAUCUUUCCCA
This is a long non-coding RNA of Trifolium pratense (red clover), 661 nucleotides long. RefSeq lists it as uncharacterized. NCBI's taxonomy places the organism in Eukaryota, Viridiplantae, Streptophyta, Magnoliopsida, Fabales, Fabaceae. The transcript has 2 exons. The record is from RefSeq and is a predicted model, not a curated record.